Molecule: ribosomal RNA, 305 nt
Filed under: uncultured bacterium
Lineage: Bacteria
Description: bacterial SSU rRNA
Rfam family: Bacterial small subunit ribosomal RNA
Source: RNAcentral
GCCCUACGGGACGCAGCAGUGAGGAAUAUUGGUCAAUGGUCGGGAGACUGAACCAGCCAAGCCGCGUGAGGGAUGAAGGUACAGAGUAUCGUAAACCUCUUUUGUCAGGGAACAAAGGCGGGGACGUGUCCCCGGAUGAGUGUACCUGAAGAAAAAGCAUCGGCUAACUCCGUGCCAGCAGCCGCGGUAAUACGGAGGAUGCGAGCGUUAUCCGGAUUUAUUGGGUUUAAAGGGUGCGUAGGUGGUUAAUUAAGUCAGCGGUGAAAGUUUGCGGCUCAACCGUAAAAUUGCAGUUGAAACUGGCA